RNAcentral lists this ribosomal RNA (216 nucleotides) under uncultured bacterium. RNAcentral's name for it is "partial 16S ribosomal RNA". It matches the Rfam family "Bacterial small subunit ribosomal RNA", at positions 118 to 351 of the family's 1533-position model. The record is from RNAcentral.
UGGGAACGUACCCUUCGGUUCGGAACAACCCAGGGAAACUUGGGCUAAUACCGAAUACGUCCGUAAGGAGAAAGAUUUAUCGCUGAAGGAUCGGCCCGCGUCUGAUUAGCUAGUUGGUGGGGUAAUGGCCUACCAAGGCUAAGACGCGUAGCUGGUCUGAGAGGAUGAUCAGCCACACUGGGACUGAGACACGGCCCAGACUCCUACGGGAGGCAG